This 446-nucleotide ribosomal RNA is filed under the name uncultured bacterium. RNAcentral describes it as "partial 16S ribosomal RNA". It matches the Rfam family "Bacterial small subunit ribosomal RNA", at positions 338 to 795 of the family's 1533-position model. The record is from RNAcentral.
CCUACGGGAGGCUGCAGUCGAGAAUCAUUCACAAUGGGGGAAACCCUGAUGGUGCGACGCCGCGUGGGGGAAUGAAGGUCUUCGGAUUGUAAACCCCUGUCAUGUGGGAGCAAAUUAAAACGAUCGUACCACAAGAGGAAGAGACGGCUAACUCUGUGCCAGCAGCCGCGGUAAUACAGAGGUCUCAAGCGUUGUUCGGAAUCACUGGGCGUAAGGCGUGCGUAGGCUGUUUCGUAAGUCGUGUGUGAAAGGCGCGGGCUCAACCCGCGGACGGCACAUGAUACUGCGAGACUAGAGUAAUGGAGGGGGAACCGGAAUUCUCGGUGUAGCAGUGAAAUGCGUAGAUAUCGAGAGGAACACUCGUGGCGAAGGCGGGUUCCUGGACAUUAACUGACGCUGAGGCACGAAGGCCAGGGGAGCGAAAGGGAUUAGAUACCCCAGUAGUC